GGAGGAGGAGUGACUGGGAUGUGUCGUAUCGGUGGGUCAGUAGUGUGGACGAGGAGACGAGGUGAGGAGGUGUUGUGACGCUCCUCUCCCCUCCACUUCGAGAUAAGGAGGAAGAGGAGGAGGAGGAGGAGGAGGAAGACGAAAAGGAGAAGGAAAAGAAGGAUGUUGCGUUAAAAAGACGAGGAAUGUUCUGUAUCUUUUUUUUUUCGGUGUUAAAUAUUUUCCAGUGCUUUUUUUUUUUUUUUGCGUGUGUCAUUCAGGUGAAAAAAAAAACGAGAAGAAAAAGUUGUACAGUGCCGUAGUGGUGAUUUUGGUGGUGGUGCCAGAAGAGUAUAGUGCCCCGGUGUGUGUGUGUGUGUGUGUGUGUGUGUGUGUGUGUGUGUGUGUGUGUGUGUGUGUGUGUGUGUUAUAUUUUGCUCUCCUUGUCGUCCCCGGAUUCUUCUCGGAAAAGAAUUUGCCUUAACCUUAGACACACCACGCAUAAUAGUAGUAGUAAUAGUAGUAGCAGUAGUAGUAGUAGUAAUAGUAGUAGCAGUAGUAGUAGUAGUAAUAGUAGUAGCAGUAGUACCAUCAUCAUCAUCAGCAUAACAUUCCCACACGUCCCAAAAUCAAGGUCAUCGUCUGUGGUAAAUGGCAUGACAAGCGGAGUGCAGUGACAAGUGUGCGUCGGGGUGGCAGUUACGGGUGUGUGACAGGUGUGCGGGAGGGAGAGGGUGGACAGGUGUGUGGGUGGGUGUGGCCGCCUAGAGAAGAAGAAAUAAACAGGUGUACAGGGUGGCAUGUGGGUGUGUCUUGGUGGCGUGCAAGGUUAAUGUGUGUGUGUGUGUGUGUGUGUGUGUGUGUGUGUGGAGUGUGUAGCAGUGGAAUGUGGUGUAUUCUGUUAUGUAAUGUGGAGGGAAAUGCGGGGAAGGUGGACUGGUGGAAUGUAGAGUGUUUAGCGAUGAUGAAUGUGAGCUAAUGGUAUGUUUUAGUGAUUUAAUUAUAGUUCAAAACGUGGAAGGUGAUGUUUAUUGUUAUGUAAUGUGGAUGGAAAGGAACUAGUGGAAGGGUUGACAGGUGGAAUGCAUAGUGUGAUCCGACGAUAAAUGUGGAGUUAGGAGUUUAUUCUCGUGAUUUAGUUUGAGAGGAAGAAGGAAGAGAGAGGAAUGAAAAGGAAAUUAAAAAAAUGACCCUAUGGAAAAACUGUCACUACUACCGCUAGCUAAAUUUGGGCCGUAUUCUUAAACAUUUCGUCGGCCAAACACAGACAUUUGACAAGGCUUUCAUAGGUGUUUGGGGGAUUUCCAGGGAUAGUUUAAUGACCCUGGUGGUAGUUUAACUUUCUUUUCAUUUCGUCGGCCAAGCACACAAAUUUGACAAGGCUUUCAUAGGUGUUUGGGGGAUUUCCAGGGGUAGUUUAAUGACCCUGGUGGUAGUUUGACGCUUUCUAUUCAUUUCGUUGGCCAAACACAGACAUUUGACAAGGCUUUCGUAGGUGUUUUGGGGGAUUUCCAGGGGUAGUUUAAUGACCCUGGUGGUAGUUUGACGCUUUCUUUUCAUUUCGUCGGCCAAGCACACAAAUUUGACAAGGCUUUCGUAGGUGUUUGGGGGAUUUCCAGGGAUAGUUUAAUGACCCUGGUGGUAGUUUAACUUUCUUUUCAUUUCGUCGGCCAAGCACACAAAUUUGACAAGGCUUUCGUAGGUGUUUGGGGCAUUUCCAGGGGUAGUUUAAUGACCGUGGUGGUAGUUUAACUUUCUUUUCAUUUCGUCGGCCAAGCACACAAAUUUGACAAGGCUUUCGUAGGUGUUUGGGGCAUUUCCAGGGAUAGUUUAAUGACCCUGGUGGUAGUUUAACUUUCUUUUCAUUUCGUCGGCCAAGCACAGACAUUUGACAAGGCUUUCAUAGGUGUUUUGGGGCAUUUCCAGGGGUAGUUUAAUGACCCUGGUGGUAGUUUGACGCUUUCUAUUCAUUUCGUUGGCCAAGCACACAAAUUUGACAAGGCUUUCAUAGGUGUUUUGGGGCAUUUCCAGGGGUAGUUUAAUGAUCCUGGUGGUAGUUUAACUUUCUUUUCAUUUCGUCGGCCAAGCACACAAAUUUGACAAGGCUUUCGUAGGUGUUUUGAGGCAUUUCCAGGGGUAGUUUAUUGACCUUGGUGGUGGUUUAACUCUUUCUCUGUACCAUGAACGUAAACAAAACACUCAUGAAAACUCGAUUAAUCUCCUUUUGGCCUUUCUAAAUAAUUCAUGUGAGAUGUGAGAGCGUCUAAAAAUACUGACCUUUGUGAUUUAGUUAUGAUAUGUGGAACGCUGUGGAGGAGGGCUGUGAUGUGGAGAGGGUGGAGUGAUCUUAUGGUAUCUGUUGUGUAAUGUGGAGCGGACUGAUGACUGGACAGGAUG
Molecule: long non-coding RNA, 2376 nt
Organism: Eriocheir sinensis (Chinese mitten crab)
Lineage: Eukaryota; Metazoa; Arthropoda; Malacostraca; Decapoda; Varunidae
Exons: 3
Source: RefSeq, a predicted model, not a curated record